GAUGAACGCUGGCGGCGUGCCUAAUACAUGCAAGUCGAGCGAACAGACGAGGAGCUUGCUCCUCUGACGUUAGCGGCGGACGGGUGAGUAACACGUGGAUACCGCCCCUAUAAUUCUGGGAAAACUUCGGGAAACCGGAGCUAAUACCGGAUAAUAUAUUGAACCGCAGGGUUCGAUAGUGAAAGACGGUAUUUCUGUCUCUAAUAGAUGGAUCUGCGCCGGAUUAGGUAGUUGGUAAGGUAACGGCUUACCAAGGCUACGAUGCGUAGCCGAGGUGAGAGGGUGAUCGGCCACACUGGAACUGAGACACGGUCCAGACUCCUACGGGAGGCCGCAGUAGGGAAUCUGCCGCAAUGGGCGAAAGCCUUACGGAGCAACGCCGCGUGAGUGAUGAAGGUCUUCGGUUCGUAAUGCUCUGUUAUUAGUGAAGAACAACUGUGUAAGUAACUAUGCACGUCGUGACGGUACCUGAUCAGAAAGCCACGGCUAACUACGUG
This 497-nucleotide ribosomal RNA is filed under the name uncultured bacterium. RNAcentral describes it as "partial 16S ribosomal RNA". It matches the Rfam family "Bacterial small subunit ribosomal RNA", at positions 28 to 507 of the family's 1533-position model. The record is from RNAcentral.